AGAUAUACAGAAAUAGAGACAGUCGGUUCCCUCUCUCUCUCUCUUCAUCUCUUUAAUCUCUCUCGGUCAAUCUACAGGAUUCGAUGUGUUAACAUUGUAUCAGAGCGGCGAUUCCGAUUCUGCUCAUCACCGGCUUUCUCGUGAUGAUACCCUCAUCAAUUUUCAUCCGAGUUUCUCUGUUAUCUUAAAAUCUAGGAUUUUCUCAUUUUGCUGGGUUUUCCUCUGUAAUCGUUGAUUUUUGAGGUUUCUACUUCGUCGCUUUCAUCGGUUCGACAUAGGAAUAAGUCGAUUCCUAAGGAUUUGUCUAUCCACGAAUAGUUAGGGUUUGGCUUUGUGAAGUUUCAGGCUUGGUAACGCUUCUCAGUCGCAAAAAUGGUUAAUGUUGG
This 386-nucleotide long non-coding RNA is filed under the name Nicotiana benthamiana. RNAcentral's name for it is "long non-coding RNA (NBEN_LNC031895)". Lineage: Eukaryota; Viridiplantae; Streptophyta; Magnoliopsida; Solanales; Solanaceae. The record is from RNAcentral.